Molecule: ribosomal RNA, 169 nt
Filed under: uncultured beta proteobacterium
Lineage: Bacteria; Pseudomonadati; Pseudomonadota; Betaproteobacteria
Description: partial 16S ribosomal RNA
Rfam family: Bacterial small subunit ribosomal RNA
Source: RNAcentral
CCCUACGGGAGGCAGCAGUGGGGAAUUUUGGCCAAUGGGGGCAACCCUGAUCCAGCCAUCCCGGUUGAGGGAAGAAGGCUUUCGGGUUUAAAUCUCUUCGGCCGGAAAGAAACGGCCCGGUCUAACACCCUGGAGAAUGACGGUACCGAAGAGAAGCACAGCUAAUUUG